CCCUAUAUAUAUUUAUCUUAAUUUUUUUAAAUGGGAAAUUCUUCGUUUGGGAAUAGAGGUGAAUAUUACAAAUUUUCUUUCAAUAAUUUACUAAAACUUACUUUGUCAUGAAUUUUACAGAAGAUGCUUCGCCAUCAGUUAUAUCCUUAGAUUCCCCUUCACCACCAUCAACACCUAACCCACCAACCUUCAAUAGCGGGGUGCUACCAAUGUCUAAUAACCUUGAAUUAUUAUUCAAUAAUUUAUGAACACACAUACACAUACAUACAGAUGUUUCAUCUACCACUGCUAGUACGCCAACCAUUCCAUACCAGUUGCCGAUAAGUCCGCUAGAAUAUGCUAACAAUUCACAACUCAAUUCACAUGCACUUAACAGUUUUUAUGAUUAUUUUUCCAAGAUAUGAACCGCCUGCUCCAGAUGACAUGCAGUCAUACAUUUACAAUCGGCUGAUUAACGACGCGCAAGAACUCUCCUACUUAACCAGCCAGUGGAGCGUACAAGGUUUUAUGCAUACUACAACGAAUGAUGAGGAUAUGCAAAAUUUGCAGCGUUAAAAUUACCAAUAAAUCUAAAUUGUGCUGUACUUCAGCUUUACAAAUGUAAACAGUGAAGUUUGUGUCAAGAGCGUUCAUAACAUUAUUUACAGAAUACAAAACAGGCACUUAAGCAUAACGUCAAACUAAAAUGUAAAAUUUUUAUACCACAAUAUUGUAAGCAUUGAAUUAUACUGAAUUUAAUAUUUGAAGUGUUAUCGCAAAUAUGUAACAAGUUUCUAAGAAUCUAUAUAAAAGCGGAUUGAAAUAAAAAUAGAUAUACUUUUAGCAUAAAUGUAUUGAAAAGAAAAAAAAGAAAUUUUCCUUAAACAAACGAUACCACAAAUUCACAGUCUAUGGGUUCGACUAAAGCUGGUUUAUGGAGCCUCAGUCACGAGUCUGAAAUGAGCUGAGCGUAGCAUUUCUGAUGAGUAGAAUUCCUACUCACAAAUCAUUCCACCUCACAGAUUGAGAGCGAAUGGGGAUAAUAAAUGGGA
Molecule: long non-coding RNA, 1031 nt
Organism: Ochlerotatus camptorhynchus
Lineage: Eukaryota; Metazoa; Arthropoda; Insecta; Diptera; Culicidae
Exons: 3
Source: RefSeq, a predicted model, not a curated record